GAGAGUUUGAUCCUGGCUCAGGAUGAACGCUAGCUACAGGCUUAACACAUGCAAGUCGAGGGGCAGCAUGGUCUUAGCUUGCUAAGGCCGAUGGCGACCGGCGCACGGGUGAGUAACGCGUAUCCAACCUGCCUUACACUCUUGGACAGCCUUCUGAAAGGGAGAUUAAUACAAGAUGUUAUCAUGAGUAAGCAUUUUCGCAUGAUUAAAGGUUUACCGGUGUAAGAUGGGGAUGCGUUCCAUUAGAUAGUAGGCGGGGUAACGGCCCACCUAGUCUUCGAUGGAUAGGGGUUCUGAGAGGAAGGUCCCCCACAUUGGAACUGAGACACGGUCCAAACUCCUACGGGAGGCAGCAGUGAGGAAUAUUGGUCAAUGGACGAGAGUCUGAACCAGCCAAGUAGCGUGAAGGAUGAAGGUUCUAUGGAUUGUAAACUUCUUUUAUACGGGAAUAAACGAAUCCACGCGUGGAUUUUUGCAUGUACCGUAUGAAUAAGGAUCGGCUAACUCCGUGCCAGCAGCCGCGGUAAUACGGAGGAUCCGAGCGUUAUCCGGAUUUAUUGGGUUUAAAGGGAGCGUAGAUGGGUUGUUAAGUCAGUUGUGAAAGUUUGCGGCUCAACCGUAAAAUUGCAAUUGAUACUGGCAGUCUUGAGUACAGUUGAGGUAGGCGGAAUUCGUGGUGUAGCGGUGAAAUGCUUAGAUAUCACGAAGAACUCCGAUUGCGAAGGCAGCUUACUAACCUGUAACUGACAUUGAUGCUCGAAAGUGUGGGUAUCAAACAGGAUUAGAUACCCUGGUAGUCCACACGGUAAACGAUGAAUACUCGCUGUAGGCGAUAUACAGUCUGCGGCCAAGCGAAAGCAUUAAGUAUUCCACCUGGGGAGUACGCCGGCAACGGUGAAACUCAAAGGAAUUGACGGGGGCCCGCACAAGCGGAGGAACAUGUGGUUUAAUUCGAUGAUACGCGAGGAACCUUACCCGGGCUUAAAUUGCAACCGAAUAUGGCGGAAACGCUAUAGCUAGCAAUAGCGGUUGUGAAGGUGCUGCAUGGUUGUCGUCAGCUCGUGCCGUGAGGUGUCGGCUUAAGUGCCAUAACGAGCGCAACCCUUGCCGAUAGUUACUAACAGGUUAUGCUGAGGACUCUGUCGGGACUGCCAUCGUAAGAUGUGAGGAAGGUGGGGAUGACGUCAAAUCAGCACGGCCCUUACGUCCGGGGCUACACACGUGUUACAAUGGGGGGUACAGAGGGCUGCUACCACGCAAGUGGAUGCCAAUCCCAAAAACCUCUCUCAGUUCGGAUUGAAGUCUGCAACCCGACUUCAUGAAGCUGGAUUCGCUAGUAAUCGCGCAUCAGCCACGGCGCGGUGAAUACGUUCCCGGGCCUUGUACACACCGCCCGUCAAGCCAUGGGAGCCGGGGGUACCUGAAGUGCGUAACCGCAAGGAGCGCCCUAGGGUAAAACUGGUGACUGGGGCUAAGUCGUAACAAGGUAGCCG
RNAcentral lists this ribosomal RNA (1493 nucleotides) under uncultured bacterium. Its description in RNAcentral is "bacterial SSU rRNA". It matches the Rfam family "Bacterial small subunit ribosomal RNA". The record is from RNAcentral.